AUAUCUUUCUUAGCCUUUUGGUUAAGAUAAAGUGUAAUAUUUGUUUUUAUGAAUUUAAUAUCUGAUAUAUAGACUGUAUGUUCACUUUGAUAUUAAUUUUAUUUUUUAUGAGUAACAAAUAUGAUUGUGUGUUGUCGCAACACACAAGCAUUGUACUAGUGAUUAUCUUCAUAUCACACAUUUUUGCCACACUAGUGCACA
Zea mays is the source of this 201-nucleotide non-coding RNA. NCBI's taxonomy places the organism in Eukaryota, Viridiplantae, Streptophyta, Magnoliopsida, Poales, Poaceae. The record is from Rfam.